This 443-nucleotide long non-coding RNA is filed under the name Phoenix dactylifera (date palm). RNAcentral describes it as "long non-coding RNA (PDAC_LNC021207)". Lineage: Eukaryota; Viridiplantae; Streptophyta; Magnoliopsida; Arecales; Arecaceae. The record is from RNAcentral.
UGCCCGCCCUCGGCGUAUCUGGAUCGCGAUGGCGAGAGCCAUGGGGAGCGAGAUCAAGAUCCCGCAGGCCAUGGGGAGCGAGGUCGGCCCGAGAACGCGAUGCAGCUCGCUCGCGAUCUCCUUCCUCCUUUCUCCCUGUUCUCCUUCCUCAUUGGCUGGCAUUUCCCAUCCCUUUAGAGAAUAAUAAGGCCAUGGGAGCAAGCUAACAAGCUCCUAAGAAACCCAUAUCUCUUGAAAACCCACCAUAAAUUCACUUAAAAACGACCAAUAGUACCACCGCCCACGCACAAAAAAAGAAGCGACUCUCUUGCUUGUUAUCACAAAGCAAACUCAUUUCUCUGAGCUUUUGCUGGAUUUUAGGUGGCUUUGUGCAGCCUUUAUCCUGAUUUUGUUUCUCUUUUUCUGUUUCCAUUGCCACCAACUCGAUCAGUGCUGUUAAAGCC